RNAcentral lists this ribosomal RNA (253 nucleotides) under uncultured bacterium. Its description in RNAcentral is "partial 16S ribosomal RNA". It matches the Rfam family "Bacterial small subunit ribosomal RNA", at positions 524 to 776 of the family's 1533-position model. The record is from RNAcentral.
UACAGAGGCCCCAAGCGUUACUGAGAAUCACUGGGCGUAAAGCGCACGUAGGCGGCUUCUUAAGUCAGGGGUGAAAUCCUGGAGCUCAACUCCAGAACUGCCUUUGAUACUGAGGAGCUUGAGUCCGGGAGACGUGAGUGGAACUCCGAGUGUAGAGGUGAAAUUCGUAGAUAUUCGGAAGAACACCAGUGGCGAAGGCGGCUCACUGGCCCGGUACUGACGCUGAGGUGCGAAAGCGUGGGGAGCAAACAGG